GGGUUUCGUUAUGGUGGGCCCUGCCGGUCCCCUCGCAACGAUCAGCCGUGAACCCGGUCAGGCCCGGAAGGGAGCAGCCGCAGCGGUGACAUUGUGUGCCGGGGUGUGGCUGGUAGGGUUCACCUCCAUAACGCUC
Molecule: signal recognition particle RNA, 136 nt
Filed under: Stutzerimonas frequens
Lineage: Bacteria; Pseudomonadati; Pseudomonadota; Gammaproteobacteria; Pseudomonadales; Pseudomonadaceae
Description: Bacterial large signal recognition particle RNA
Rfam family: Bacterial small signal recognition particle RNA (bases 22-118)
About the family: The signal recognition particle (SRP) is a universally conserved ribonucleoprotein involved in the co-translational targeting of proteins to membranes.
Source: RNAcentral